This is a non-coding RNA of Oryza sativa Japonica Group (Japanese rice), 5759 nucleotides long. The record is from RefSeq and is a predicted model, not a curated record. NCBI's taxonomy places the organism in Eukaryota, Viridiplantae, Streptophyta, Magnoliopsida, Poales, Poaceae.
ACGCAACGGCCCAUGGAUAAAGCUGAAUUACGACCGCUAGAUUGGGUCCAACAGGCCCAUCUAAAAAAGGAGCCCACCAAAUCACCACCGCCCCUUCCCUUCCGGCUCGAUGGCCGCCGCUUCGCCGCCGGCGGCGGCGGCGGAGGUCGUUGUAUCCCUCCACUCUGUCCCAGCCAACUAAUAGCGUAAGAGACAGGAGAAUCGCGGCGCGGAGCGGCCUCUAUAGGAGCAGGCAGCGGGCGCCUCAUCGUCCUCCGAUUCCAUUCCGCCAUGGUCGACGACCCCCAUCUUCCUCCUCGCCUGCGGCAAGCAAGGAGGAUGCAUAUUGGGGAUUCCAACUCAAACUACAAGAGCAGGGAUUUGAACUGUUCUAUGUGAAAUUUAUGCAAAAAUUCGUAUGGAACUCUACUGUUCCAGACAGUUUGGCAUUAGCUCCGGAUUGGGAUUAUUCAUCAAUUCGUUAUUCCUUUCUUGUUCAAUUCCUAACCAAUCAAUCAGUCAUACUUGCUGCUUAUUUUAGCAAGAAGAUCACAGAGCUCCCUUGGUUUGGAGCACAUGAUGUUGUGGUCGGCUCCAGCAAUCUCCUCGACUUCCGUGCCCGGGCUCAACGUGAUCAAAUAACGAUGCAGCUCCUUGAUGUCAUCCCCCAUGCCUAUCAGGCACACCCUCUUCACCGAACCAUAGUUGGCACUGGUAAGCAGCUUGUCAUCCUUCAUCAUCGGAUCAUCCUGGAACUGGCUGCCAGGUGUCAUCAAUAAUUUUGCCAGGGUCAAAUCCUACCCAAAAAAAAAAUCAAAUGCUAGUCUAAUGAGAUUUGAGAUACCAGUUACCAGCUAUUAGGACAAUAGCAAUCUUAAUUCCAAAUUAAAUGCUAAACUGGAACUUGCAAGAAACCAGAGUUCAUGAUGCUAGUUGAUUGCCUCAGCUGGACUUAGUGGAUAACACCUCUCUGCCAAGAAAUUUGGGCCUAGGGUUACUGCUGUUCCUGGACCUCGUUUGUUGUUCAUUGGUAUCAUUUUGCUAUCCAUGAGCAGACCUUUGGGAGCUCUUUCCCUCAUCAACUGUACAUAUAUCAAGAAAAAUAGAAGCAUUAGUAGUUAAAUAAAUGUUCAGAAAUUAGAGCGAGUAAUAAGGCAAAGUUUUUGCCUUUGUUCUAAAAAAAACUUUGCUGACUACCUCCCUGACGAUUCCCAUGUGCUUGCCGACGCAUGGCAUGGACGAGGCGGCAAACACGGCCACGGCGAUCUUGUCCGGGAACCUCUCCAUUGCGAGCGCGAUGCUUAGGCCGCCGAAGCUGUGCCCUACGAGGAUCAGCCUCUCACCCGCAGGAGCCACAGCCACUGUGUCGAGGAGCGGUCGCGACUAGUCCUCGAAAGAGUGCACCUCGUCGAUGCGUGCCGGGUGCACGCCGGACGCAGCGAGGUCGAGUGCCGUAACACGGUGCCCCUCAGAGCGGAGCAUGGUGACCACCUUGUACCAGCACCAUGCUCCAUGGCAAAGGCCAUGGACAGGGAUGAAAUGCUUGCUACUGCCACCGCCGCUGCCUUCCAUUUCCUGUAAGUGUCUUGGUUGUAGUGUGUCUCUCUUUGAGUUUCUGAUAUAUUUAUACAGAAGUUGCUACGGAUUGAUUGCCAUUAUCAAAUAUAUAUAUAUGGUAGUAGCAUUUACCUAAACACUGUAGUUACCAUUUAGGUUGAUGAUCUAUUCACUGAGUUGGACGUGCUAGCUGUCAGCCUUCAUACACUAAAUUGUAUGGACUUUGAUCAUGAUCCAUUUGACAGUGAUCAUGAAUUGCUCUAGUUUGGUUAAGUACUUAUUACAGGUUCUAAGACUAAACCCAACAAGUUUAUAUAUGUAUAAUGAGCUCCAGGUAGCCUCAAAUUUACUUUGUAGAUGUUCAUCUUUUUCUGGAAUUUCCCCCUCAAUUUUCAACCAUCUCUUCUCUUUUCCAUGAUUCCAUCUAAUUCAUUGUGCUGGUUCUACCUUUCAUUUUGUGAGACUGGUUCCCUGAGCUCCCUCUCAAUCUGUCACUCAGCCACACGCUGCCCCAGCUCUCUACCCCUCUUGACUACUGCUGCUUCUGUAUGCUAAUUAAGAAUCUAUCCAAGUUCAGUUAGAUCACCCUACUGUGAUGUGUGAUAAAUCCCAAUUUGGAAGUAAUGGUGGACAAGGUGGUUCCCUUGGAUAAUUUUGAAAGGAUAGUUCCUCCUUGGAUGAUUAAUCAACCUAGAGCUAGAAUCUGGACAAGGUACAGGAAAUGAUUGCAAAUUCAAAUCAUGACAGUAAUUUUCUGAUGUGUAUACGCCCAUCUGUUUGUGAGGUUGGUGGAGGCGUGGAGUCUGGUUGGACCGGGGACCCUAAUGGUAGCUGGCUUGGAUGCCUGGGGUGGACAGGUGACCUAAACAGUAGCUGGGGUGUGAAAAAAUGGUACUGUGUGCUUUACUGCUUUCUGGAGGAGAUUUUGGAAAGUGCAUGGGUACUGUUUGCUGCAAUGCUCCCUUUGUCCCCUUCUCUUACUUCAUACUUACUCCCUCUAUCCCAAAAUAACUCCAACCCUAUCUUCCCAAGGUGGAUUUAAGACCAAAAUACCCAUAAUUAAUAAUAAAGUUAUAUUGGUGGGUGGGUAGGUUUGGGGUAUUGAAGGGAUAAAAUUUCUCGAUUUGCGGAUCAAUGAUAGGUAAGAAGGUAGAAGCUAGUUUAUUUUGGGACAAUUUUCAAACUAUAAAAUUAAUUUAUUAUGGGACGGAGGAGUAGUUCAUAUCUAACACUGAAAAUAUGUAACUUGCUAAUUAAUUGUUCCUCUUGUGGCUUGGACAUGAUUGGUUGCUGGAUUGUGGCUUUCCUUUGUAUGAUGAAAGAUGACCAAGGGCAUCUCCAUGCGUUGUUCACAAACAUAGAGCAUGAUACUGCUACAGCAACCGCAACAUUGAUUCUUUUGUCGCAGCGGGCUGGUUUGGUGCUGGGUCCACAUUUUUAUCGUUCUUUUCUCCUUAAUUUUUCUCAUGGGCGAUUUCUUUACUAACUCUGGUUUGAACGAGCAUACCAUCUAUCUUGUUAUGCAGGCUCCCGUGGACUGAGUCCAUCUCUUCUAGGUUCGGUCAUUUGCAUACACUGGAGAUGGCCUAAGCUAGAUGUGCUGCUCUCUCGGAUGCUCGGGAUCACUCACUCUUGGCAGGUCCUAUAUUAUGAGGCAUCAAAUGGCUUACAAGAGCAUGAAAUAUUUGCAAAAUUCAUAUGAAACUCAAUUGUUCCAAGCAGAGCCUGCAUUAGCUCUGGACAGGAUUUAUUCAUCAUUUUUUUUCUUGCCCAAUUUCUAACCAAUCAAUUAGUCAUACUUGCUACCUAUCUUAGCAAGAAGAUCAGAGAGCUCCCUCGGCCUGGAGCACAUGACGGCGUGGUCGGCCCCGGCAAUCUCUUCGACUUCCACGCCCGGGCUCAACGUAAUCAUGUAACGGUGCACCUCCUUCAAGUCAUCCUCCAUGGCCAUCAGGCACACCCUCUUUACCGAACCGUAGUUGGCACUGGUAAGCAGCCUGUCAUCCUUCAUCGUUGGAUCAUCCACGAACUGGCUGGUAGGUCUCACCAAUAAUUUCGCCAGUGUCAAGUCCUACAAUAUACCGUAGAUAUGCUAAUGUAAUGAGAUUUGAGAUAUCAGUUAGUCUGAAUUCUCAAAUUAAAUGCAAAUUGGAACUUUCAAGAAACCAGAGAUAAUAUGCUAGUUCAUUGCCUCAGCUGGACUUAGUGGAUAACCCUUCUCCGCCAAGAAAUUUGGGCCUAGGAGGAUUGCAGUUCCUGGACCUUGUUUGUUGUUGAUCGGUAUCAUUUUGCUAUCCAGGAGCAUAUCUUUGGGAGCUUUUUCCCUUAUCAACUGUACAAACAAGAAAAAAUAUCAGUAAUUGAAUAAAUGUUCAGACAUCAGAGUGAGUAUUUAUCAGUUUGCUGAUCAGUGAUCACCUCGGGGAUGAUGCGCUUGCCGACGCACGGCACGGCCGCGGCGACGAACACGGCCACAGCAAUCUUCUCCGGGAACCUUUCCAUGGCGAGGGCGAUGCUGAGGCCACCGAAGCUGUGCCCGACGAGGAUCAGCCUCUCGCCGGCCGGAGCCUCAGCCACUGCAUCGAGGAGCGGCUGCGAGUACUCCUCGAAGGAGUGCACCUCGUCAACCCGUGCUGGGUGGACGCCGGACGCGGCGAGGUCGAGCGCCGUCACGCGGUGCCCCUCGGAGCGGAGCAUGGUGACCACCUUGUACCAGCACCAUGCUCCGUGGCAGAGGCCAUGGACAAGGAUGAAAUGCUUGCUGCUACUGCUGCUGCCCUCCAUUUCCUGUAAGUGUUUGUGGUUUGCUCUUCUGCAAGUUUCUGACGCUGUGAUAGUAGCGAUGAAUUGAUUUAUACAUACAUUAUCGAGAAAUAUAUAUGACAGUGGCAUUUAUAAUUUUAUAUGCAGUAGGUAUCAUUUAGAUUGAUGAUAUAUUUACUGGCUUGAACGUGCUAACUGUCAGCCUUUGUAAAGAAAAUUGUGUGGACUUUGAACGUACUAACUGACAGUGAUCACUAGUUUAGUUUGGUGUCCAUUACAUGUUCUAAAAUAAAACCCGACAAUUUUAUAUGGAUAAUUAGCUCCAGGUACCUUCAAAUUUACUUGGGAGAUGUUCACCUUUUUGACUUUUUCUGGAUUUUUUCCUCAAAUUUCUACCGUCCCUUCUCUUUUCCUAAUUAAUUGAGCUGGUCCUUCCCCUCUGUUUUCUGCACUACCCUCCUUAUCUCCUUCUCUUUGUUCAUAGCUAACACUGAAUAUUAUUUGCAUACACUGGAGAUGGCCUAAGCUAGAUGUGCUUCUCUCUCUUAUGCUGUGACUGUGAGCCUGUGAGGUCAAUCACUGUUGGCAAGUCCUAUAUUAUCAGAUUUCAUCAAUUAUUGGCACACAAGAUCAAACAAAGCAAUGAGAACCAAACUUCUAUUAUUUAUACUUGUAGCGAUGGACUGUAAGUAGGCUUCAUGACGAAGAAGCACUGAUUAUUUCCAAACUGGCAUUUUUCUACUCGUAUUUGUUGGCUAUCUUGAUCAGAAUGUCGCAGAGUUCCCUGGGCUUGGAGUUCAUGACGGCGUGGUCAGCUCCGGCGAUCUCCUCGACGUCCGUGCCAGGGCUCAUCGCCACCAUCCACCGCUGCAUCUCCUCGGUGCUGGAGCUGUCAGCCUUGGCGAUCACGUACACCUUCUUCACCGAUCCAUAGUUGCCAUUGGUGAGCAAGCUCUCAUCUUUCAUCACCGGAUCAUCCAUGAACUGAUUGCCAGGUCUCACCAGCAUCUUCGCCAGUGCCAGAUCCUGAAAUGUGUGGUAGUAGCAUUUUUUUAAUGGAAAGAUGAUUACAUGGGCAUUUGACACAACAGUGUACCGAUGUGACAGGAUCCUCUGCAGUCGACUAUACCGUGCCAUUCCUGAUCCCUUGUAACCUACCUCUGCUGGACUUUGCUGGUAGUAUUUUUGUGCCAAGAAGGUUGGUCCCAAAUUGAUUGCAACUCCUGAGCCCUGGCUAUUGUUUAUGGCCACCAUUUCGCAAUCCAUAAGUAAUCCUUCAGGUGCAGUUCUUCUCAUGAACUAAGCAUAUCGAUCACACAACAAAAAACAAAAAUAUUAGUGGUGGUUAACCUAGCAUUAGUAGUCAUUUUGCAUUAAAGGACAAUUAUAGUUCACUGGUUUGAUUUUGUAAUUUGCUAAUGCUUUGCCUAUAGCUUAUUUGAAGCAAAUGCCAAAAUAAA